RNAcentral lists this unclassified non-coding RNA (440 nucleotides) under Hevea brasiliensis (rubber tree). Lineage: Eukaryota; Viridiplantae; Streptophyta; Magnoliopsida; Malpighiales; Euphorbiaceae. The record is from RNAcentral.
GCAAUUCUGAAUAUUUUGAUUUAUGCAUUUUCAUGUCUAGAUUUUGUUCCAAAAAUGUUACUGAUGAUUAUCUAACUAAUCUAUACAAAUGCUCUUUUCUUUGGUAAGAUCCACAGCUCAUCAUCAUAUGCACCAGGCCAGGAAUUUCUUGAAAAUAACAUCAGAGUAAAACCAGACUUAGAUGCCCUCGGGGCACUGGGAGAUGCAGGCUGGUACUGCAUUGGCGCGAUAUUGUGGGCUAUGAACCAAACUUUGCCAACGACUGUGACUGCACUGCCUAAUGUUGCAAGAAACUCAGCUGGAGUUAUCUUAACAUGUAGUGCCUCCUUGUAUUGGGAAAAAGAGGAAACCGUUGCUACAUUUUACUGCUCUUUCAUUGCACACGAGACAAUGGACUUGCGAGUUUAUGGCUCUAAUGGGACAUGUUAUCUCUAUGACUU